RNAcentral lists this unclassified non-coding RNA (725 nucleotides) under Hevea brasiliensis (rubber tree). The record is from RNAcentral. Lineage: Eukaryota; Viridiplantae; Streptophyta; Magnoliopsida; Malpighiales; Euphorbiaceae.
UCCGGCCCCCCACCCCCCCACUCCUCUUCUCUCUCUCUCUCUCUCUCCAAACAGGAACUUCAAAAUAAGGGCAGCCAGCCAUUCCCAUAAACCAUCUUGGAAUCCCCAAUUCGCUUCCCCGGUAUUGGGUUCAGGAUCUGCCACCCAAUUCACCAACAGUCUCUUUUUCUUGGGUUUUUUCAAACACCCCAUCUCCACCUCUCUUCCAUUGUCUCUACAGCCAACAGAGGAAGGGACGCUAUCCACACUUUCUGUUUUUCUCUGCUAAACACUAAAAAAAUAUAAUCGCUCUUGCCAUUAUUACCAUUUAUAUUACAGCACACUACAAGUGUUUUGUCUCUAUUUAUUACUUUGCAAUUUUGCAUGGCGGGAAAUCCUCCACCUGAGGGACUAGGAGAUGAUUUCUUUGAGCAGAUCUUGGCAGUGCAGCCGGGCUAUGGCGGUGGUGGUGACACCGGUGGGGGAGAGGUGGUGGGGUCCACCAUGCCUAUGAUGGGUUUGCAGUUGGGGACUCCUGGUGGUGGUGGGUUGAGGACUAAUAAUAUGGGAAUGAUGCCUUUAGGGCUGAACUUAGAGCAUCAUGGCUUUUUGAGGCAACAAGAAGAUGGUGGUGGUGCUUUGGAUAACAAUAAUCAUGCCAAUAAUAAUGCUUCUACAACUUCUGGAAUCAAUGAGAGAAAUUCUGUUCACAUUGCGAGUUUGUUCCCAACGUUUGGACAGUUGCA